RNAcentral lists this RNase P RNA (392 nucleotides) under uncultured Roseovarius sp. RNAcentral describes it as "Bacterial RNase P class A". It matches the Rfam family "Bacterial RNase P class A". From Rfam's summary of the family: Ribonuclease P (RNase P) is a ubiquitous endoribonuclease, found in archaea, bacteria and eukarya as well as chloroplasts and mitochondria. Its best characterised activity is the generation of mature 5'-ends of tRNAs by cleaving the 5'-leader elements of precursor-tRNAs. The record is from RNAcentral. Lineage: Bacteria; Pseudomonadati; Pseudomonadota; Alphaproteobacteria; Rhodobacterales; Roseobacteraceae.
GAGGGCCGGAUGACCGCGGGGCCUUCGGGCCGCGAGGAAAGUCCGGACUCCACAAGGCAACGGUGCCGGGUAACGCCCGGCGGGGGAAACCCCAGGGAAAGCGCCACAGAGAAUAGUCUGCUCCGGCCUGCCGGAGUGAGGGUGAAACGGUGGGGUAAGAGCUCACCGCGGGACUGGCAACAGGACCGGCACGGCAAGCCCCACCGGGAGCAAUGCCGAAUAGGGAUCGCGCGCGGGGGCCGGUCCGGGAGGGAACUCCGGGAUACCGCCCGCAGGCCGCCUUGGCCCUGCGAUCCGGGUUGGCAGCUAGACGCGUGUUGGCGACAACACGCCUAGAGGAAUGGUCAUCCAGCCCCGCAAGGGGUGGACAGAAUCCGGCUUACAGGCCCUCC